ACUCCUACGGGAGGCAGCAGUGGGGAAUUUUGGACAAUGGGCGAAAGCCUGAUCCAGCCAUGCCGCGUGCAGGAUGAAGGCCUUCGGGUUGUAAACUGCUUUUGUACGGAACGAAACGGCCUUUUCUAAUAAAGAGGGCUAAUGACGGUACCGUAAGAAUAAGCACCGGCUAACUACGUGCCAGCAGCCGCGGUAAUACGUAGGGUGCAAGCGUUAAUCGGAAUUACUGGGCGUAAAGCGUGCGCAGGCGGUUAUGUAAGACAGUUGUGAAAUCCCCGGGCUCAACCUGGGAACUGCAUCUGUGACUGCAUAGCUAGAGUACGGUAGAGGGGGAUGGAAUUCCGCGUGUAGCAGUGAAAUGCGUAGAUAUGCGGAGGAACACCGAUGGCGAAGGCAAUCCCCUGGACCUGUACUGACGCUCAUGCACGAAAGCGUGGGGAGCAAACAGGAUUAGAUACCCGGGUAGUCC
This 469-nucleotide ribosomal RNA is filed under the name uncultured organism. RNAcentral describes it as "partial 16S ribosomal RNA". It matches the Rfam family "Bacterial small subunit ribosomal RNA", at positions 335 to 796 of the family's 1533-position model. The record is from RNAcentral.